This 476-nucleotide ribosomal RNA is filed under the name Arthrobacter sp. Air204. RNAcentral describes it as "bacterial SSU rRNA". It matches the Rfam family "Bacterial small subunit ribosomal RNA", at positions 113 to 603 of the family's 1533-position model. The record is from RNAcentral. Lineage: Bacteria; Bacillati; Actinomycetota; Actinomycetes; Micrococcales; Micrococcaceae.
ACACGUGAGUAACCUGCCCUUGACUCUGGGAUAAGCCUGGGAAACUGGGUCUAAUACUGGAUAUGACUGACUAUCGCAUGGUGGUUGGUGGAAAGCUUUUGUGGUUUUGGAUGGACUCGCGGCCUAUCAGCUUGUUGGUGGGGUAAUGGCCUACCAAGGCGACGACGGGUAGCCGGCCUGAGAGGGUGGACGGCCACACUGGGACUGAGACACGGCCCAGACUCCUACGGGAGGCAGCAGUGGGGAAUAUUGCACAAUGGGCGCAAGCCUGAUGCAGCGACGCCGCGUGAGGGAUGAAGGCCUUCGGGUUGUAAACCUCUUUCAGUAGGGAAGAAGCGAAAGUGACGGUACCUGCAGAAGAAGCGCCGGCUAACUACGUGCCANCAGCCGCGGUAAUACGUAGGGCGCAAGCGUUAUCCGGAAUUAUUGGGCGUAAAGAGCUCGUANGCGGUUUGUCGCGUCUGCCGUGAAAGUCC